AGACUGCUAAGCUGAUAGGGUAACCCUGCCUCCUGAAAACAGGCAUCUCAUCUCUGCAGGAUGUGGGAAGGAGGAGGUGGGGACAUCAGCACUUCAUCUGUGUGCAGAGCACUGGGGUUGGUGCUGUGGGGCGACCACAAGAGGCUGUAGGUGCCCCUGUUUGCCCCAAAGCUGGCCAGCCCAACUCAGGACUGCAGGGACCAUGUGAAUGGCAAGUAGACUCCGUUAGAGGGUCAUGCAGCGAGGCAGUGGUCAGGACAAGGUGGGCAGCUUUGUGCUGUCUGUACAUUCGAUUGAAAAAGGAAAACAGCACUUGAGCAGGGUUGGGGUUUCUGGAUGGCUUAAUUAUUUCAAUAUGACAUUUGUGGUAUGAAGUAGUCUAGUAGUAGGGAUCUUGACUUCUCAAGGGUUUAAAAGUAUUUCCUUUGGAAAGUGCUGUCCUGCACCAAGGAGUCUGGAUUCUUCUUAUUCUUGAUUUCUGGUGUCUCUUAGGUUGAGAGUAGGGUCUAGGAGCAGAGAGCACAGCUCCUGUCCUCAGGAAGCCCAUGGUCUCCGGGAAGGGCCAGAGCCCUGUCCAGAGCACUCACAGCAAAGCAGUCUUGCAGGGCAGGGCCUCUGAGCCAUGUUUGCAAGGGGUCAGAUGGAGUGUAGGGAGGGGACCUGAGACAAGGUGCGGGAAGGUGGGCUGAACGAGAGGGCAGAAGGUUCUUGGAGGAAGCGCCCAUCUGCUGUGGGUUGGCCUAGCCAAGGUGCUGCUCUCCCCUCAGCUUCACCACUGACCCCAGGUGCUCCAGUGACACAUCUCGAGUUGCUUCCUGUCCCGGCCAGGGCCCAGCCGCCAUGACACACACGCCAGUGGAGGAAUCCCUCUUCCAAAUCAUCCGCUGCUACUGUCAGUACGCGGCCCGGGAGGGGGAUGUGGAGACCCUGUCCCUGGAGGAGUUGAAGGCUCUGCUUCUGGACAAUGUACCCUGCUUCAUGGAGAGCCUGGGCCGGAAGGAGCCCUACUACGUCUCGGAGCUGUUCCGGGCUGCAGACAAGAACAAGGACAACCAGAUCGGCUUCGAGGAGUUCCUGUUGGUGCUGGGGCGGCUGCUGACGCACUACCACCUGCUGUACCGCCGGCAGCUGUGCGCCAGCUACUGCACCCGGCACAGCCUGCACUAGGGGGCCUCCGCCCGCACCUGCCCCCGCGCGGCUGCAGGGCUCUGGGCACACGCGUGUGCAACGCACAGCUGUGAGGGAAG
RNAcentral lists this long non-coding RNA (1247 nucleotides) under Ursus thibetanus thibetanus. RNAcentral's name for it is "lncRNA (ENSUTTG00000014179.1)". Lineage: Eukaryota; Metazoa; Chordata; Mammalia; Carnivora; Ursidae. The record is from RNAcentral.